UACCCGCGCCCCUAGUGGUGGUCGAUAUUAUUGAGCCUAAAACGUCCGUAGCCGGUCUUCUAAAUCCUUGGGUAAAUCGGGCAGCUUAACUGUCCGAAGUCCGGGGAGACUGGGAGACUUGGGACCGGGAGAGGUCAGAGGUACUUCGGGGGGAGGAGUAAAAUCCUGUAAUCCUAGAAGGACCACCGGUGGCGAAGGCGUCUCACUAGAACGAAUCCGACGGUGAGGGACGAAGCCCUGGGGCGCAAACGGG
This 253-nucleotide ribosomal RNA is filed under the name uncultured Methanomassiliicoccales archaeon. RNAcentral's name for it is "partial 16S ribosomal RNA". It matches the Rfam family "Archaeal small subunit ribosomal RNA", at positions 474 to 727 of the family's 1478-position model. The record is from RNAcentral. Lineage: Archaea; Methanobacteriati; Thermoplasmatota; Thermoplasmata; Methanomassiliicoccales.